UAUAUAUACAAACAUAAUCGUAUUUCUACUUUUGUACCAAAUAUUUUAUAGCUGUAGUGCUUAUGACAAGAUUUCUUUUUUAUUACAUAUUUACAAACAAAAUUAUUUUUUCUUUUUCUCAUUUACCUAGUGAGGUCAAACACUAGGGUUUCACUAGCAUUGACAAAAGGACACAGGUUUCCUAAAAUAGGGUUUCCUGGUCGGCCACAGAACAUAUUGGAAUAUGUAUAAUAUAAUUCUCACGUUUCGUAGUAAAGGGAGAAAUUAUUGUAUAUACGGUACUAGCGUAGUAUUUUUAUAGAGUUCACGUCAGUAGGUAUAAGACACGUGACUAACAUUAUGGCAGGAAAUUUUUUUCCCUGAGAUUAUCACUUUCUAGCCCACUGCAGACAGGGCAACAUUCAAGUUCCAUUCAUAUUAUGAAUAUACUUUGAUACAUGCAUUUAUAUAUUUUUCAAAACAAUACACGUCCGAGUAUGUCUCGUGAGACGACUUGUCGCAUUGGGUCGGAGCAUAUAUGACUGUUUCCUGACCCUUGGGUUGGACCCAGGUUUCCAGUUUCCCAUUAUUGGGUUUGUUUGGUUGUUCCUGGCCGGCGAGGUCGUUCAUGAUCGAGUUAUUCAUUUGUUCAGUUAUUCAGUUUACAUUCAUGUCAACCAUAUUAUAUCUCUUGUUAAUACAAGGUUUAUUUUACUAGCUAAGUUGUACCUAAUAGUAUUUUCAAGUAUAUUUCAAGGUUUUUGUUAUUAGGAGUAACUGUGUAAUUGCUUUAUUCAUAUGUUUUUAUAUAUAUAUAUAUACAUAUUAAGACACAUGUAUGUAAUUAUUUAAUAAAUUCUGUUGUCCACUAUGCUUGCUGGGCUAUAGGCAACACUAUAUAUUGUAUUCAUUUAUGCCUUAUAAUAGAUAUGAGCGUAUAGGGUAUACGUAUAGUUAUUCAAAUGCAAAAGGUUGACAUGAGAUUAUUUCUCUAGUACUGGUACAAGUUAUUGAAUUCAUAUUGUAUAAUAUAUGUUUAUAUUGAUAAUUUGUCUUAUUAAAUGGCAGCUCACAAUAUGCUGUACUCGAGCUAGUCAAGAAACAU
This 1084-nucleotide long non-coding RNA is filed under the name Mytilus galloprovincialis (Mediterranean mussel). Lineage: Eukaryota; Metazoa; Mollusca; Bivalvia; Mytilida; Mytilidae. The record is from RNAcentral.